GGUUACGCUGAGGUGGAUCUGGUUGUAAAUAUGAUACAGGGGCCUGGAAGUAAUAGGAGAUGACAAGGAAACUUGAAUAAAACCUUUUCCUUCCAAACA
Molecule: long non-coding RNA, 99 nt
Organism: Mizuhopecten yessoensis (Yesso scallop)
Lineage: Eukaryota; Metazoa; Mollusca; Bivalvia; Pectinida; Pectinidae
Exons: 2
Source: RefSeq, a predicted model, not a curated record